The sequence is a regulatory RNA element, 57 nucleotides long. It matches the Rfam family "msiK RNA". The record is from Rfam.
GUGCACCACCUUUACAACGGAUCGUCCGGCACGUUCCUGCCGGUGAAGGAGUCAUCC